This 745-nucleotide ribosomal RNA is filed under the name Coleoptera sp. NZAC 03012151. RNAcentral's name for it is "eukaryotic LSU rRNA". The stretch from base 467 to 745 matches the Rfam family "Eukaryotic large subunit ribosomal RNA", at positions 665 to 911 of the family's 3401-position model. The record is from RNAcentral. Lineage: Eukaryota; Metazoa; Arthropoda; Insecta; Coleoptera.
UACGUGAAACCGUUCAGGGGUAAACCUGAGAAACCCGAAAGGUCGAAGGGGGACAUUCAACCGCGCUCGGUCGGCGGCGAGAGGCGGUCGCGCGACGGUGAUCCCUCCGGGGUGAUCCGCGCCGGCCGCCGACGUCCGUCUCCGAACACGUGCACUUGUCCCCUUGUAGGACGUCGCGACCCGUUGGGUGCCGGUCUACGGCCCUCGGUGGAGCCCGUGCGGAGCCUCGCGCUCCGUCCGGACCCGAGGUGUCCCGGCCGGCUCGCCCGACGGUAUACCGAUGGCGCGGGGCCGCGGCUCGAACGCGUCCGACCCUCCGCAAGUGCGGACGGUAACCCGGCGGUCGGACCUGGUCCGGCUCCGGGCCCGCCCGGCUGCUGGCGGAGGCGCUCUCGGACAGACUCCGUGCACGCCCGUCGGCGACGCUAUAGCUUUGGGUACUUUCAGGACCCGUCUUGAAACACGGACCAAGGAGUCUAGCAUGUGCGCGAGUCAUUGGGAUUGACUAAACCUAAAGGCGCAAUGAAAGUGAAGGCCCGCCUCGCGCGGGCCGAGGGAGGAUGGGCCGGAGCACGAUCCGGCCCCGCACUCCCGGGGCGUCUCGCUCUCAUCGCGAGGAGAGGCGCACCCAGAGCGUACACGCUGGGACCCGAAAGAUGGUGAACUAUGCCUGGUCAGGACGAAGUCAGGGGAAACCCUGAUGGAGGUCCGUAGCGAUUCUGACGUGCAAAUCGAUCGUCGGAAC